Molecule: ribosomal RNA, 253 nt
Filed under: uncultured bacterium
Lineage: Bacteria
Description: partial 16S ribosomal RNA
Rfam family: Bacterial small subunit ribosomal RNA
Source: RNAcentral
GACGAAGGGGGCUAGCGUUGUUCGGAAUUACUGGGCGUAAAGCGAGUGUAGGUGGUUGUCCAAGUUGGAUGUGAAAGCCUUGAGCUUAACUCAAGAAAUGCAUUCAGGACUGGAUGACUAGAGGACCGGAGAGGAUAGUGGAAUUCCCAGUGUAGUGGUGAAAUACGUAGAGAUUGGGAAGAACACCAGUGGCGAAGGCGACUACCUGGCCUGUUCUUGACGCUGAGGCGCGAAAGCUAGGGGAGCAAACGGG